CCUACGGGAGGCAGCAGUGGGGAAUAUUGUUCAAUGGGCGCAAGCCUGACCCAGCAACGCCGCGUGAAGGAAGAAGGCUUUCGGGUUGUAAACUUCUUUUCUGAGGGACGAAGAAAGUGACGGUACCUCAGGAAUAAGCCACGGCUAACUACGUGCCAGCAGCCGCGGUAAUACGUAGGUGGCAAGCAUUAUCCGGAUUUAAUGGGUGUAAAGGGCGUGUAGGCGGGAAAGGAAGGCAGAUGGUAAAAGUCAGGGCUCAAACCUGGGACUGCAGUUGAAACUGUUUUUCUUGAGUGCUGGAGAGGGAAUCGGAAUGCCGGGGGUAGCGGUGAAAUGCGUAGAUAUAAGGAGGAACACCAGUGGCGAAGGCGGCUUGCUGGACAGUAACUGACGCUGAGGCGCGAAAGCGUGGGGAGCGAACAGGAUUAGAUACCCCAGUAGUC
Molecule: ribosomal RNA, 443 nt
Filed under: uncultured bacterium
Lineage: Bacteria
Description: partial 16S ribosomal RNA
Rfam family: Bacterial small subunit ribosomal RNA
Source: RNAcentral